AAACUUUCCUUCGGGAAAGAUAUAAAGUGGCGCACGGGUGAGUAACACGUAAGUAAUCUACCUUCGAGUGGGGAAUAACGUCCGGAAACGGACGCUAAUACCGCAUAAUGCAGCGGCAUCUAAUGAUGACAGUUGUUAAAGAUUUAUCGCUUGAAGAGGAGCUUGCGGCAGAUUAGCUAGUUGGUAAGGUAAUGGCUUACCAAGGCUACGAUCUGUAACCGGUCUAAGAGGACGGUCGGUCACACUGACACUGAAUAACGGGUCAGACUCCUACGGGAGGCAGCAGUCGGGAAUUUUGGGCAAUGGGCGAAAGCCUGACCCAGCAACGCCGCGUGAAGGAUGAAGUAUUUCGGUAUGUAAACUUCGAAAGAAUGGGAAGAAUCAAUGACGGUACCAUUUAUAAGGUCCGGCUAACUACGUGCCAGCAGCCGCGGUAAUACGUAGGGACCAAGCGUUGUUCGGAUUUACUGGGCGUAAAGGGCGCGUAGGCGGCAAUUCAAGUCAUCUGUGAAAUCUCCGGGCUUAACUCGGAACGGUCAGAUGAUACUGCUUUGCUAGAGUGCGGAAGGGGCAAUCGGAAUUCUCGGUGUAGCGGUGAAAUGCGUAGAUAUCGAGAGGAACACCAGAGGUGAAGACGGGUUGCUGGGCCGACACUGACGCUGACAGCGCGAAAGCCAGGGGAGCAAACGGGAUUAGAUACCCCGGUAGUCCUGGCCCUAAACGAUGAAUACUUGGUGUCUGGAGUUAUUAGUGCUCCGGGUGCCGUCGCUAACGUUUUAAGUAUUCCGCCUGGGGAGUACGCUCGCAAGAGUGAAACUC
This 819-nucleotide ribosomal RNA is filed under the name uncultured Bacillota bacterium. Its description in RNAcentral is "bacterial SSU rRNA". It matches the Rfam family "Bacterial small subunit ribosomal RNA", at positions 70 to 902 of the family's 1533-position model. The record is from RNAcentral. Lineage: Bacteria; Bacillati; Bacillota.